This 485-nucleotide ribosomal RNA is filed under the name Procambarus curdi. Its description in RNAcentral is "partial 16S ribosomal RNA". It matches the Rfam family "Bacterial large subunit ribosomal RNA", at positions 1944 to 2643 of the family's 2925-position model. The record is from RNAcentral. Lineage: Eukaryota; Metazoa; Arthropoda; Malacostraca; Decapoda; Cambaridae.
GACCGUGCAAAGGUAGCAUAAUCAUUAGUUUUUUAAUUGAAGGCUAGAAUGAAUGGUUGGACAAGAAAUAAUCUGUCUUAAUUAAAUAUAUUGAAUUUAACUUUUAAGUGAAAAGGCUUAAAUAAUCUGAAGGGACGAUAAGACCCUAUAAAACUUUAUAUUUAUAAAUUAAUAGUUAAUUUUAUUUAAAUAUAUUAUUUUAAAAUAUUUUGUUGGGGUGACAAGGAUAAAAUUAAAGAUAACUGUCCUUUUUUAUUACAGUAAUAUCUGGUUAGGUGAUCCUUAAAAUGGAUUAUAAGAUUAAGUUACUUUAGGGAUAACAGCGUAAUUUUUUUUAAGAGUUCUUAUCGACAAGAAAGUUUGCGACCUCGAUGUUGAAUUAAAAGAUCUUUAUAGAGUAGAGACUAUAAAAGAGGGUCUGUUCGACCUUUAAAUUUUUACAUGAUUUGAGUUCAGACCGGUGUAAGCCAGGUUGGUUUCUAUCU